This 430-nucleotide ribosomal RNA is filed under the name uncultured bacterium. Its description in RNAcentral is "bacterial SSU rRNA". It matches the Rfam family "Bacterial small subunit ribosomal RNA", at positions 92 to 518 of the family's 1533-position model. The record is from RNAcentral.
CGACCGGCGCACGGGUGAGUAACACGUAUGCAACCUGCCUGUAAGCGGGGAAUAACCCGUUGAAAGACGGACUAAUACCGCAUAAUACUAAAUUACUGCAUGGUAAUUUAUUUAAACAUUUAUGGCUUACAGAUGGGCAUGCGCAUGAUUAGCUAGUUGGAGAGGUAACGGCUCCCCAAGGCAACGAUCAUUAGGGGUUCUGAGAGGAAGGUCCCCCCACACUGGUACUGAGACACGGACCAGACUCCUACGGGAGGCAGCAGUGAGGAAUAUUGGUCAAUGGACGAGAGUCUGAACCAGCCAAGUCGCGUGCAGGAAGAAUUGUCCUAUGGAUUGUAAACUGCUUUUGCAGGGGAAUAAAGUGCAUCACGUGUGAUGUUUUGUAUGUACUCUGCGAAUAAGGAUCGGCUAACUCCGUGCCAGCCGCCGC